RNAcentral lists this ribosomal RNA (675 nucleotides) under bacterium enrichment culture clone WG_20. RNAcentral describes it as "bacterial SSU rRNA". It matches the Rfam family "Bacterial small subunit ribosomal RNA", at positions 62 to 710 of the family's 1533-position model. The record is from RNAcentral.
UCGACGCUUCUUUUUCACCGGAGCUUGCUCCACCGGAAAAAGAGGAGUGGCGAACGGGUGAGUAACACGUGGGUAACCUGCCCAUCAGAAGGGGAUAACACUUGGAAACAGGUGCUAAUACCGUAUAACAAUCGAAACCGCAUGGUUUUGAUUUGAAAGGCGCUUUCGGGUGUCGCUGAUGGAUGGACCCGCGGUGCAUUAGCUAGUUGGUGAGGUAACGGCUCACCAAGGCCACGAUGCAUAGCCGACCUGAGAGGGUGAUCGGCCACAUUGGGACUGAGACACGGCCCAAACUCCUACGGGAGGCAGCAGUAGGGAAUCUUCGGCAAUGGACGAAAGUCUGACCGAGCAACGCCGCGUGAGUGAAGAAGGUUUUCGGAUCGUAAAACUCUGUUGUUAGAGAAGAACAAGGAUGAGAGUAACUGUUCAUCCCUUGACGGUAUCUAACCAGAAAGCCACGGCUAACUACGUGCCAGCAGCCGCGGUAAUACGUAGGUGGCAAGCGUUGUCCGGAUUUAUUGGGCGUAAAGCGAGCGCAGGCGGUUUCUUAAGUCUGAUGUGAAAGCCCCCGGCUCAACCGGGGAGGGUCAUUGGAAACUGGGAGACUUGAGUGCAGAAGAGGAGAGUGGAAUUCCAUGUGUAGCGGUGAAAUGCGUAGAUAUAUGGAGGAACACC